AGAGUUUGAUCCUGGCUCAGGACGAACGCUGGCGGCGUGCUUAACACAUGCAAGUCGAACGAUGAAGCUCUUCGGAGUGGAUUAGUGGCGAACGGGUGAGUAACACGUGGGAAAUCUGCCCUGCACUCUGGGACAAGCCUUGGAAACGAGGUCUAAUACCGGAUAUGACCUUCCUCUGCAUGGGGGUUGGUGGAAAGCUCCGGCGGUGCAGGAUGAUCCCGCGGCCUAUCAGCUUGUUGGUGGGGUAAUGGCCUACCAAGGCGACGACGGGUAGCCGGCCUGAGAGGGCGACCGGCCACACUGGGACUGAGACACGGCCCAGACUCCUACGGGAGGCAGCAGUGGGGAAUAUUGCACAAUGGGCGAAAGCCUGAUGCAGCGACGCCGCGUGAGGGAUGACGGCCUUCGGGUUGUAAACCUCUUUCAGCAGGGAAGAAGCGCAAGUGACGGUACCUGCAGAAGAAGCACCGGCUAACUACGUGCCAGCAGCCGCGGUAAUACGUAGGGUGCGAGCGUUGUCCGGAAUUAUUGGGCGUAAAGAGCUCGUAGGCGGCUUGUCGCGUCGGUUGUGAAAGCCCGGGGCUUAACCCCGGGUCUGCAUUCGAUACGGGCAGGCUUGAGUGUGGUAGGGGAGAUCGGAAUUCCUGGUGUAGCGGUGAAAUGCGCAGAUAUCAGGAGGAACACCGGUGGCGAAGGCGGAUCUCUGGGCCAUUACUGACGCUGAGGAGCGAAAGCGUGGGGAGCGAACAGGAUUAGAUACCCUGGUAGUCCACGCCGUAAACGUUGGGAACUAGGUGUUGGCGACAUUCCACGUCGUCGGUGCCGCAGCUAACGCAUUAAGUUCCCCGCCUGGGGAGUACGGCCGCAAGGCUAAAACUCAAAGGAAUUGACGG
RNAcentral lists this ribosomal RNA (893 nucleotides) under uncultured bacterium. RNAcentral's name for it is "bacterial SSU rRNA". It matches the Rfam family "Bacterial small subunit ribosomal RNA", at positions 8 to 916 of the family's 1533-position model. The record is from RNAcentral.